RNAcentral lists this ribosomal RNA (497 nucleotides) under uncultured bacterium. RNAcentral describes it as "partial 16S ribosomal RNA". It matches the Rfam family "Bacterial small subunit ribosomal RNA", at positions 28 to 507 of the family's 1533-position model. The record is from RNAcentral.
GAUGAACGCUGGCGGCGUGCCUAAUACAUGCAAGUCGAGCGAACGGACGAGAAGCUUGCUUCUCUGAUGUUAGCGGCGGACGGGUGAGUAACACGUGGAUAACCUACCUAUAAGACUGGGAUAACUUCGGGGAACCGGAGCUAAUACCGGAUAAUAUUUUGAACCGCAUGGUUCAAAAGUGAAAGACGGUCUUGCUGUCACUUAUAGAUGGAUCCGCGCUGCAUUAGCUAGUUGGUAAGGUAACGGCUUACCAAGGCAACGAUGCAUAGCCGACCUGAGAGGGUGAUCGGCCACACUGGAACUGAGACACGGUCCAGACUCCUACGGGAGGCAGCAGUAGGGAAUCUUCCGCAAUGGGCGAAAGCCUGACGGAGCAACGCCGCGUGAGUGAUGAAGGUCUUCGGAUCGUAAAACUCUGUUAUUAGGGAAGAACAUAUGUGUAAGUAACUGUGCACAUCUUGACGGUACCUACUCAGAAAGCCACGGCUAACUACGUG